UGAUUAAUGGACAGAUAUGGUGUGAAACCUGGGGGCUGUCUUCUACUAAUGGCUCAACAGAGAAAUGUUUCUAGGUUGUUUCUGCCUGAAGGUCACAAGUGGCUGCAUGGUGUCUUGUUCACAGUCUCCUGGACACAAGCUUUAUGGGGGUUUCUCCAGGUUCCCAGAAAGGUAUGAAAGCUCAUUCUAUUUGUGUGUCCAAGGAAAACCUGCUGCACGUUCCACAAGAAAACAGUGAGAGGCUCUUGGGACUUCUUAUCUUCCUGCAGCAGUUUAAUAGCCACGAGCACUGUUCUGUAUAUCGUUUUUUCUGCAAUGUCUAUAUAACUUUG
RNAcentral lists this long non-coding RNA (332 nucleotides) under Crocodylus porosus (Australian saltwater crocodile). RNAcentral's name for it is "lncRNA (ENSCPRG00005012014.1)". Lineage: Eukaryota; Metazoa; Chordata; Crocodylia; Crocodylidae. The record is from RNAcentral.